Molecule: small RNA, 21 nt
Filed under: Arabidopsis thaliana (thale cress)
Lineage: Eukaryota; Viridiplantae; Streptophyta; Magnoliopsida; Brassicales; Brassicaceae
Description: Ath_wt_04212
Source: RNAcentral
UAGGUAGGACGUGUCGGCUGC